GAGCUGAAGGCAAAUCCGUCAGGUGAGAGGAUUAUGCAUUUUUUACUUCUAUGCCAAAACUGACAAGCUCAAGCCUUGUUUUUAUUUAGUAUGCUUUCUGCACCUUUCAUUUCAUUUUGGUUCUGUUUUGGGUUAGUUAUGCUUGUUAAUCUUUGGUCUAUGUUGUGCUUUUUGUGGAAUAUGAUGUGUCUUUUCGGUGUUAAACUCGAAGGGUUCUCUUUUAUUGUCUCAUGGAAUGUUGCUAAAUAAAGCAUUACUAAUUUUAACCCUCUAAUGUAAAGGAUUAAACACUGUAUUUUCUAAAAAUUUUGUGCUCUUGCCUAGUACGUUUAGGCUCUGAGGUUGCCUAUUCUCCCCUGCUGCUAUUAUUACUGCCAGUACUACUAGAGGGAGCGGAGCCGCGGGGGUGGGUGGGUGGUGUGAUGUU
Molecule: unclassified non-coding RNA, 427 nt
Filed under: Hevea brasiliensis (rubber tree)
Lineage: Eukaryota; Viridiplantae; Streptophyta; Magnoliopsida; Malpighiales; Euphorbiaceae
Source: RNAcentral